UAGAAAUUAGUUUAUUUAAAAUGCUAAAUUGUUACUUUAGUGAAUUAUUUCUAG
RNAcentral lists this transfer RNA (54 nucleotides) under Syphacia obvelata. RNAcentral describes it as "tRNA-Asn". The record is from RNAcentral. Lineage: Eukaryota; Metazoa; Nematoda; Chromadorea; Rhabditida; Oxyuridae. RNAcentral also lists the same sequence under 1 other name.